UUUAGCAUCGGGCUAGUCAAUCUAUAUAAAUGACAGUGAUCCUGAAAACCCAAACGCCAAUACCUCUGAUGGCAAUGGCAACAGCGUAUAACUCCAUGGCAUUACUUCGCUGAUGGAUCUGACAAGCAUUUAAAACAGCUGGUAAACCCGGACCUGUCGUCGGCUGAGCUGGAAACAUACAAGGCGACCACAAAAAAAUAUAGGCUUCAGCAAAAACCUACCUGAGCAUUACACCACAGCACGAAGAAAUGAAAAGAUCUGUGAAAUUCAAAGCAAAUAAUUAUUACUGUUUGCACAAGAGUUAUUCACUGAAAAAUACCGUGAGGGGGAACAGAAAUGUAAGUAUUCUUACAUGUAAAUACAACGCUGGUUUAUUGCAUACAUUCUCUUGUUCAUUCACACUGUUGUUAGUUCUAUUUCUUCAGAAACUGCCAACUUAAUCCCAAAUUAGCGAACUGUAAUUCCAGUGG
Long non-coding RNA from Brienomyrus brachyistius, 470 nucleotides. RefSeq lists it as uncharacterized. The transcript is spliced from 3 exons. The record is from RefSeq and is a predicted model, not a curated record. NCBI's taxonomy places the organism in Eukaryota, Metazoa, Chordata, Actinopteri, Osteoglossiformes, Mormyridae.